GUGCUUAUGUUGGCAGCACGCAUAUUAAAAUUAGAAUGAUAUACAGAUUAGCAUGGCUCCUGUGCAAGGAUGACAUGCAAACUCAUGAAGCAUUCCAUAUUUUU
Molecule: small nuclear RNA, 104 nt
Filed under: Myotis brandtii (Brandt's bat)
Lineage: Eukaryota; Metazoa; Chordata; Mammalia; Chiroptera; Vespertilionidae
Source: RNAcentral